This 246-nucleotide ribosomal RNA is filed under the name uncultured Mycobacterium sp. RNAcentral describes it as "partial 16S ribosomal RNA". It matches the Rfam family "Bacterial small subunit ribosomal RNA", at positions 796 to 1041 of the family's 1533-position model. The record is from RNAcentral. Lineage: Bacteria; Bacillati; Actinomycetota; Actinomycetes; Mycobacteriales; Mycobacteriaceae.
CACGCCGUAAACGGUGGGUACUAGGUGUGGGUUUCCUUCCUUGGGAUCCGUGCCGUAGCUAACGCAUUAAGUACCCCGCCUGGGGAGUACGGCCGCAAGGCUAAAACUCAAAGGAAUUGACGGGGGCCCGCACAAGCGGCGGAGCAUGUGGAUUAAUUCGAUGCAACGCGAAGAACCUUACCUGGGUUUGACAUGCACAGGACGCCGGCAGAGAUGUCGGUUCCCUUGUGGCCUGUGUGCAGGUGG